AAGGAUUAGUCGGAUUUCUGAAACAGAUGCUGAUAUAAUUACACAGGAAGAAACAUGACUCGCUGGUUUGAAAAGACACCUUCAGGUGCUUUGUGUUGUGGUCCGCUGGCGGCCUGCGGAGCUGGCAGCAGAGUCGGACAGUGAGGAGACUGGGGAGGAACAUGGGCCAGUCCUGGAGUCUUGGGAAGGCUCGAACAAGGGCUCUGCAUCGGGGGCAGAGAUGGGGCCAGGGCCAUCUGGGAGUUAUGUGCAGACUCUGGAGCCUCCAGAGUUGGACAUCAGCGAGGCAGAGAAACAGGGGGAGCCUGUUCCCAGUGCGCACAUGCACAGAGUUGCCAGAAGGCAAGAACAGUUAAAACAAAAGAGAUGACUCAGGAGUAAGGCUUGGAGAUGAUUGGCCCCUCCCAUAAGACAUAAAGGAGGAGCAGAGGCACGUGAGCCCUUUGCAGGAAGCAACUGUUGUUCGUGCUGGCCGGUUUCAAGACUGCAGUUCUGUGUUGACCCUGUGUUCCUGUGAGUUCCUGUCGGACUCUUUACAAUUAUUUGGGACUCCUCUAUGAAUGAACAGAUUGGGAAUGAACAGGCUUUGAAUGAACAGAAUUCACAGCCGUGGAAAUAAAAAGAGGGUUUUGGGGACUCAUUGUGUGCUUUUAUUGUAUCAGGAAGCCUAGGUCAGAACACUUUGGAGAAUAGGUUUACCCCCUCUUCUUUGUGGCAGCACCUCAAAAAUUGGAACACUGCUGUCAUGUCAUCCCUAGUCCUUCUUUUCAUUAAACUAGACAUACCCAA
This is a long non-coding RNA of Pantherophis guttatus, 789 nucleotides long. RefSeq lists it as uncharacterized. The record is from RefSeq and is a predicted model, not a curated record. NCBI's taxonomy places the organism in Eukaryota, Metazoa, Chordata, Lepidosauria, Squamata, Colubridae.